CGUCACGCCCGCUGUAAUAUGUAAUCAUCAAAGCGUGUAUUUUACUCGCUUGGUGUUACUUCUUACAGUGAGUGCGACG
RNAcentral lists this microRNA precursor (79 nucleotides) under Drosophila grimshawi. RNAcentral's name for it is "mir-971 microRNA precursor family". It matches the Rfam family "mir-971 microRNA precursor family". The record is from Rfam by way of RNAcentral. Lineage: Eukaryota; Metazoa; Arthropoda; Insecta; Diptera; Drosophilidae.